GAGGAGGCUCAGUGGUAGAGCGCUUGCCUAGCAUGUGUGAGGCACAGGGUUCGAAUCUCAGCACCUCA
This 68-nucleotide transfer RNA is filed under the name Marmota monax (woodchuck). RNAcentral describes it as "tRNA.Ala". Lineage: Eukaryota; Metazoa; Chordata; Mammalia; Rodentia; Sciuridae. The record is from RNAcentral.